UAACCGGAUUAGAUACCCUGGUAGUCCAUGCCGUACACGGUGGGCAGUAGGUGUGGGGACUUUCAACGGUUUCCGUGCCGAAGGUAACGCAUUAAGUGCCCCGCCUGGGGAGUACGGCCGCAAGGCUAAAACUCAAAGGAAUUGACGGGGGGCCGCACAAGCGGCGGAGCAUGUUGCUUAAUUCGAGGCAACGCGAAGACCCUCCCCUGGGUGGUUCAUGUACCGAAAAGCCAUAGAGAUACGGUGUCCUUCGGGGCGGUACACAGGUGGUGCAUCCUGUCGUCAGCUCGUGUCGUGAGAUGUUGGGUUAAGUGCCGCAAUGAGCGCAACCCUCGUCCUGGGUUGCCAGCAAGUUAUGUUGGGGAUUGGCAGGAGCCUGCCGGGCUCAACUCGGCGGAAGGUGGGGACGACGUAA
This 415-nucleotide ribosomal RNA is filed under the name uncultured bacterium. RNAcentral's name for it is "bacterial SSU rRNA". It matches the Rfam family "Bacterial small subunit ribosomal RNA", at positions 770 to 1187 of the family's 1533-position model. The record is from RNAcentral.